RNAcentral lists this ribosomal RNA (257 nucleotides) under Canthon aequinoctialis. RNAcentral's name for it is "partial 28S ribosomal RNA". It matches the Rfam family "Eukaryotic large subunit ribosomal RNA", at positions 688 to 910 of the family's 3401-position model. Lineage: Eukaryota; Metazoa; Arthropoda; Insecta; Coleoptera; Scarabaeidae. The record is from RNAcentral.
GAGUCAUUGGGACUAACGAUAAACCUAAAGGCGCAAUGAAAGUGAAGGUCCGCCUUGCGCGGACCUAGGGAGGAUGGGACCGGCCGCGGUCGGACCCCGCACUCCCGGGGCGUCUCGUUCUCAUCGCGAGAUGAGGCGCACCCAGAGCGUACACGCUGGGACCCGAAAGAUGGUGAACUAUGCCUGGUCAGGACGAAGUCAGGGGAAACCCUGAUGGAGGUCCGUAGCGAUUCUGACGUGCAAAUCGAUCGUCGGAA